Molecule: non-coding RNA, 730 nt
Organism: Doryrhamphus excisus (bluestripe pipefish)
Lineage: Eukaryota; Metazoa; Chordata; Actinopteri; Syngnathiformes; Syngnathidae
Source: RefSeq, a predicted model, not a curated record
GCUAACUACUGAGCUGGACGCUAACUACUGAGCUGGUUGGUCGCUAACUGCUGAGCUAAGUUAGCCUCGCUAGCUAGCUAGCUAGAAGCAACACCUACCUGUACGCAGCUACAGUGUGUUACUGCAAGUCAGUAUUGUAGAAAUAAGGCAUAAAUCUGGAUGUGGACACCCCAUCUUUGGCUGCACUCCCCUGGAUAAAAUGGCUGUGUUGACCCGACACCCUUUAGAAGGUGAGAACGUGAAGAAAUAAAAUAGAAAAUGGAGCCGGACCUGUGCCAUCCAUAUCCAUGAUACCUGUUUCUACCAGAGCCCCCUGGACACUUUGGAUGAAGCCACAGAUCUUCAUCUUCAGCCAAACGUAGCAAGACGCUUGCCUGUCUGGGAGUGGAGGAUGGGUGUAUCUGUGUCGUAAGGUGUUGUGUGUGUGUGUGUGUGUGGUGGGGGGUGCAUAUGAUGGAAGAACGGGGAUGUGUGUCAUGUGGCAUGACGCCGGCCACUCAUCUACUUUCGCCUGGUAAAGAGACAAGCGGACAGAUGGAGAGACAGAGGUGAUGAUCAAAAGGAUUGCAGUCAUGAUGAUGAUGGUGAUGAUGAUGUCGCUGGCUGGACGGACGCCCGCCGCCUCCAUCCAGUUUGCUCUCAUCAAUGUUAAUGCCUCCUUGACAGACGCUACGUGGCCAGCUAAGGACUGAUGUCUGCACACACAAUCCGAAAUAAAGUGGAAAUUGAG